UGGGGCUAGGGGCAAGUGUUCAUUACAGCACAAUGAGACCACAAGAACUCCGUGCAUACAGGCAGCAUGAGCGAGAAAAGAUGGAGAAAAAACUAAACGAAUAUGUUUUGAUAUGCAGGCGAUUGAAGGGGCGGCAAUGCAGAUACACCUACAGUACCAUCAUCACAAAACACAGCACCAUUACCAGUAUUCAACAUUUCUAGCCAAAUGAGAUCAAUGAUGAUCCACAAUUCAAAGGACAAAGCAUCAAGCUCAAAUUUAAGUAUGGCGAACGAUAUGGGAGAAUCAAGAACAGAUGUACCUUGCUCUCUAUAUGAAAAUGCUGGUGAUACACUGCUUCAAUCAUUUGAAGAUGUUGAGUCCACUUUCAAAGGCAAGCCAAGGAGACUACGGAGUUUAGAGGACUUCACUGUUGACUCAGGCAGAUCGCAGACGCAGAACUCUGAUUCCAGUUGUCCACCAAAUGAUGGGGCAGCCAGUAUCUCUAGAACAGCAGUGGUUGAUAACGAUAACAUAAGUGAAGUUGCAUCAAAUAUGCAUCUUUCAACUAACAAUUCAUACGACCAUAUUUCACCAACACCACAUGACCUGGACAAACUUAAGG
RNAcentral lists this unclassified non-coding RNA (604 nucleotides) under Zea mays. RNAcentral's name for it is "misc RNA Zm00001eb074260". The record is from RNAcentral. Lineage: Eukaryota; Viridiplantae; Streptophyta; Magnoliopsida; Poales; Poaceae.